Punica granatum (pomegranate) is the source of this 921-nucleotide non-coding RNA. Lineage: Eukaryota; Viridiplantae; Streptophyta; Magnoliopsida; Myrtales; Lythraceae. The record is from RefSeq and is a predicted model, not a curated record.
AAUCUGCAAUCGGGUAGACAACUGGUGGAGAGCAGCCAAUUGGAGGGAACUUCUUCUGGAGCUCCGAAACCAGGACUAACUUCUCCUGGGAGGCUGUAAAUGUAAUUCAUUCAAAUCCCGGACCUGUACCGGACUAUCGCUAUCUGUAUUGGGAAUUACAUCACUGAUGGCUGACGAGUUCCCGUCAAGUGGCUCGACAACAGCUCUCGACUUUCUGGUCCCAGUGAGGUUCCUCAAUCAAAGGUAACUAAUUCGACAAAGGCUCUUUUCCAUCCAAUCAGGCGGAGAAAAGGAAAUGCUCCGUGCCUGCAUUCCUUUAUCGCGGAGAGAGAAAUCGGGUGACGUGUCUGUUUAUCUUUACAGCUGAAUCCGGCGGGCGAUCAACAUCGAGUUUCCUAAUAAAUACUGGGAGGAAUACGCGCAGAUUUAUUCGACCGCAAUCAUUCCGGAUUGGACAAAGGAGAGGAGAGGAGACCCAAUUCAAAGGGGAGUACCCAAACCACUCGAUGCUCACCCAUACUCGUGUACGAGUAGAGAGAGAUGAAUUAGUCAACUAUUUCCUCAUUGAUAUUGUUCAUUCCUAUCCCUUUGUGAGUGCAGCUUAGCCCCUUACCCCUAACAAAUUAUACGCCAUUUGACGUAUAGUCCCUCAUGCACAAACUAUUAUGGUGUCCGCAAUUAAUCCCACAAACACACACACACACCCCACUCUCCCCCCACCCCCACCAUUGAUAUUCAUUGCACAUAUCAGAUAUAUAUAUAUAUAUAUAUGUAAAAUAAAUUUACUUGCCUCUCUACUUGGGUUCCACACCUGCAUUGACUGUUUUAUGACAUUAUAACUCAUUGGUGCAUCUGACUGAUUCUCGAGAAUGGUGGUAUGUGUACUAAAGCAGGCCUCAGAUACCUAGUCCUGCUAGUCUA